AUUGAACGCUGGCGGCAGGCCUAACACAUGCAAGUCGAACGGUAACAGGAAGCAGCUUGCUGCUUUGCUGACGAGUGGCGGACGGGUGAGUAAUGUCUGGGAAACUGCCUGAUGGAGGGGGAUAACUACUGGAAACGGUAGCUAAUACCGCAUAACGUCGCAAGACCAAAGAGGGGGACCUUCGGGCCUCUUGCCAUCGGAUGUGCCCAGGUGGGAUUAGCUAGUAGGUGGGGUAACGGCUCACCUAGGCGACGAUCCCUAGCUGGUCUGAGAGGAUGACCAGCGACACUGGAACUGAGCCACGGUCCAGACUCCUACGGGAGGCAGCAGUGGGGAAUAUUGCACAAUGGGCGCAAGCCUGAUGCAGCCAUGCCGCGUGUAUGAAGAAGGCCUUCGGGUUGUAAAGUACUUUCAGCGGGGAGGAAGGGAGUAAAGUUAAUACCUUUGCUCAUUGACGUUACCCGCAGAAGAAGCACCGGCUAACUACGUG
Molecule: ribosomal RNA, 490 nt
Filed under: uncultured bacterium
Lineage: Bacteria
Description: partial 16S ribosomal RNA
Rfam family: Bacterial small subunit ribosomal RNA
Source: RNAcentral